UGCAGUCGAGGGGCAGCAUCAUCAAAGCUUGCUUUGAUGGAUGGCGACCGGCGCACGGGUGAGUAACACGUAUCCAACCUGCCGACAACACUGGGAUAGCCUUUCGAAAGAAAGAUUAAUACCGGAUGGUAUAGUUUUCCCGCAUGGGAUGAUUAUUAAAGAAUUUCGGUUGUCGAUGGGGAUGCGUUCCAUUAGGCAGUUGGCGGGGUAACGGCCCACCAAACCUACGAUGGAUAGGGGUUCUGAGAGGAAGGUCCCCCACAUUGGAACUGAGACACGGUCCAAACUCCUACGGGAGGCAGCAGUGAGGAAUAUUGGUCAAUGGACGAGAGUCUGAACCAGCCAAGUAGCGUGAAGGAUGACUGCCCUAUGGGUUGUAAACUUCUUUUAUACGGGAAUAAAGUGAGCCACGUGUGGCUUUUUGUAUGUACCGUAUGAAUAAGGAUCGGCUAACUCCGUGCCAGCAGCCGCGGUAAUACGGAGGAUCCGAGCGUUAUCCGGAUUUAUUGGGUUUAAAGGGAGCGUAGGCGGGUUGUUAAGUCAGUUGUGAAAGUUUGCGGCUCAACCGUAAAAUUGCAGUUGAUACUGGCGACCUUGAGUGCAACAGAGGUAGGCGGAAUUCGUGGUGUAGCGGUGAAAUGCUUAGAUAUCACGAAGAACUCCGAUUGCGAAGGCAGCUUACUGGAUUGUAACUGACGCUGAUGCUCGA
This 709-nucleotide ribosomal RNA is filed under the name uncultured bacterium. RNAcentral describes it as "bacterial SSU rRNA". It matches the Rfam family "Bacterial small subunit ribosomal RNA", at positions 56 to 756 of the family's 1533-position model. The record is from RNAcentral.